GACCUGCGGAAGGAUCAUUGUCGAAACCUGCCCAGCAGAACGACCCGCGAACGAGUUAUCAACACACCCGGAGGGGGCCGGGACGCCGCCGUGCGCCCGACCCCCUCCGAGCCGGGGCGAGCCAGACGGUCGCUCCCGCUCUCCGCCCCCGAGGCGGACGGGACGCCCGCUCUCCUCGCCCACGGCGCAACAACGAACCCCCCCGGCGCGAAUCGCGCCAAGGAAACGCAAAGAAAAAGGGCGCGUCGCCCGUCGCCGCCCCGUCCGCGGUGCGCGCGCGCACGGCCUCGCGUCCCCUUUCCUGUGAAAUCUAAAACGACUCUCGGCAACGGAUAUCUCGGCUCUCGCAUCGAUGAAGAACGUAGCGAAAUGCGAUACUUGGUGUGAAUUGCAGAAUCCCGUGAACCAUCGAGUCUUUGAACGCAAGUUGCGCCCCAAGCCGUUAGGCCGAGGGCACGCCUGCCUGGGUGUCACGCAUCGUCGCUCCCCCCCAACGACCCCCCACCCUCUAGGGCUCGGGGCGAACAAGGGGGACGGAAAAUGGCCUCCCGUGCGCCCACCGCUCGCGGUUGGCCCAAAUGCGAGUCCUCGGCGACGGCAUCGCCGCGACGAUCGGUGGUAACGCCUGCUCGGCUUCCCUCGUCGCGAGCGCCCGUCAUCCGUCCGGACCCCCUUUCGAGACCCUGAGCGCGUCGCCCCGUGCGACGCUCGCGCCGCGACCCCAGGUCAGGCGGGAUGCCCA
RNAcentral lists this ribosomal RNA (742 nucleotides) under Heritiera littoralis. RNAcentral's name for it is "eukaryotic LSU rRNA". The stretch from base 318 to 473 matches the Rfam family "5.8S ribosomal RNA". Lineage: Eukaryota; Viridiplantae; Streptophyta; Magnoliopsida; Malvales; Malvaceae. The record is from RNAcentral.